This 465-nucleotide ribosomal RNA is filed under the name Vreelandella stevensii. RNAcentral describes it as "partial 16S ribosomal RNA". It matches the Rfam family "Bacterial small subunit ribosomal RNA", at positions 338 to 795 of the family's 1533-position model. The record is from RNAcentral. Lineage: Bacteria; Pseudomonadati; Pseudomonadota; Gammaproteobacteria; Oceanospirillales; Halomonadaceae.
CCUACGGGAGGCAGCAGUGGGGAAUAUUGGACAAUGGGGGCAACCCUGAUCCAGCCAUGCCGCGUGUGUGAAGAAGGCCCUCGGGUUGUAAAGCACUUUCAGUGAGGAAGAACGCCUGGUGGUUAAUACCCAUCAGGAAAGACAUCACUCACAGAAGAAGCACCGGCUAACUCCGUGCCAGCAGCCGCGGUAAUACGGAGGGUGCGAGCGUUAAUCGGAAUUACUGGGCGUAAAGCGCGCGUAGGUGGCUUGAUAAGCCGGUUGUGAAAGCCCCGGGCUCAACCUGGGAACGGCAUCCGGAACUGUCAAGCUAGAGUGCAGGAGAGGAAGGUAGAAUUCCCGGUGUAGCGGUGAAAUGCGUAGAGAUCGGGAGGAAUCCCAGUGGCGAAGGCGGCCUUCUGGACUGACACUGACACUGAGGUGCGAAAGCGUGGGUAGCAAACAGGAUUAGAUACCCUUGUAGUC